RNAcentral lists this long non-coding RNA (527 nucleotides) under Homo sapiens (human). RNAcentral describes it as "ANK3 divergent transcript (ANK3-DT)". The record is from RNAcentral. Lineage: Eukaryota; Metazoa; Chordata; Mammalia; Primates; Hominidae.
AAAGGCGCGGCUGGGCCGGAGGCCGAGGCUGCGCUGCACCCAGCUCCCGGCGAUCACAUCCAGUCGGCCAGGGCCCAGGGGCCAGGUUCUUCUGUAUACAAGGAGAAAGUAUUCUCUCUCAAACAGUAAACUCCCUUUUAUCACAGAGCAGGCUCCAGGCUCAAAGCCCUAGAUGGAGAUAAAGUAUUUUGAGGAGGGAGGAGAGUGUAUUUCUUCAUUUACACAAAGAUACUCAUAUGGAGCUGGGGGCAGUUCUUCCCCAAAAGGAAACAUUGAACUCAAAGUUCCAUGUAAGCAAGGACUGUGGCUGUCAUGUCUACCAUUGUAUAUCCCAGCACCUAGCACUGGACCUAGUAUAAAUUUUGUGCUAAAUUAAUAUUUAUUGACUGCAUGGAUGAACUCUCUAUUUUAUUUAUGGUUCUUCCAAUUUAUUGCUAUCUGUUUUCCAUUACUUGCCUUCUCUUACCCUGAAAUUAUGCAUCUGGAAUGAAGUAUUUUAAUAAAAUUAUUGAUGAACAUAAUGGAAA